UAGAGUUGUCAAACUCCCAAACCCAUGUGAACAUACCUAUUGUUGCCUCGGCAGGUCGCAGCCUACCCGGUAAACCCCCUACUCUGGGAGACCUUACCUGGGAGGACGCGGGUACGCCUGCCGAUGGCCCGCUAAACUCUGUUUAAACUUUGGAAAUCUGAUUUAAAACAAAUACGUUA
This 179-nucleotide unclassified non-coding RNA is filed under the name uncultured Ascomycota. RNAcentral describes it as "sequence contains ITS1". Lineage: Eukaryota; Fungi; Ascomycota. The record is from RNAcentral.